This 440-nucleotide ribosomal RNA is filed under the name uncultured bacterium. Its description in RNAcentral is "partial 16S ribosomal RNA". It matches the Rfam family "Bacterial small subunit ribosomal RNA", at positions 338 to 795 of the family's 1533-position model. The record is from RNAcentral.
CCUACGGGAGGCUGCAGUGAGGAAUAUUGCACAAUGGAGGAAACUCUGAUGCAGCGACGCCGCGUGAGGGAAGACGGUCUUCGGAUUGUAAACCUCUGUCUUUGGGGAAGAAAAUGACGGUACCCAAAGAGGAAGCUCCGGCUAACUACGUGCCAGCAGCCGCGGUAAUACGUAGGGAGCGAGCGUUGUCCGGAAUUACUGGGCGUAAAGAGCGCGUAGGCGGGAUAGCAAGUCAGAUGUGAAAUCCUAUGGCUUAACCAUAGAACUGCAUUUGAAACUGUUAUUCUAGAGUAUGGGAGAGGUAGGUGGAAUUCCUAGUGUAGCGGUGAAAUGCGUAGAUAUUAGGAGGAACACCAGUGGCGAAGGCGGUCUGCUGGACAGCAACUGACGGUGAGGCGCGAAAGCGUGGGGAGCAAACAGGAUUAGAUACCCCUGUAGUC